AACGAACGCUGGCGGCAUGCCUAACACAUGCAAGUCGAACGAGACCUUCGGGUCUAGUGGCGCACGGGUGCGUAACGCGUGGGAACCUGCCCUUAGGUUCGGAAUAACUCCCCGAAAGGGGUGCUAAUACCGGAUAAUGUCUUCGGACCAAAGAUUUAUCGCCUUUGGAUGGGCCCGCGUUGGUUUAGCUAGUUGGUAGGGUAAAAGCCUACCAAGGCGACGAUCCAUAGCUGGUCUGAGAGGAUGAUCAGCCACACUGGGACUGAGACACGGCCCAGACUCCUACGGGAGGCAGCAGUGGGGAAUAUUGGACAAUGGGCGAAAGCCUGAUCCAGCAAUGCCGCGUGAGUGAUGAAGGCCUUAGGUUUGUAAAGCUCUUUUACCCGGGAUGAUAAUGACAGUACCGGGAGAAUAAGCUCCGGCUAACUCCGUG
RNAcentral lists this ribosomal RNA (433 nucleotides) under uncultured bacterium. Its description in RNAcentral is "partial 16S ribosomal RNA". It matches the Rfam family "Bacterial small subunit ribosomal RNA", at positions 29 to 507 of the family's 1533-position model. The record is from RNAcentral.